AUAUUUUGACAAACGCUAUAUUCUUGUAAUAUAGAGGAAAGUCCAUGCUCACAAAAGCUGAGAUGCUUUUAGUGUUUGUGCUGAAGGAAAAAAUAACUUCAGGUAGCUUUUAGCUAACGGCAACGAAAGAGUCUAAGUCUAUUGAUAUGACUUUAGUAGUUAUAAAGUGCCAUAGUGACGAAGAAUCUGGAAACAGAGGAAAUGGAACGGGUAAACCCCACAAGUGAGAAACCCAAAUAUUGGUAGGGGAGCUUUGAGGAGGAAAUUGAACCAAAUCAGGGACCGGUAACGGUAGAUAAAUGUUUGUCGCCUUUUUAGGAACAGAACAUGGCUUAUAAAA
This is a non-coding RNA of Clostridium sp. CAG:710, 340 nucleotides long. Lineage: Bacteria; Bacillati; Bacillota; Clostridia; Eubacteriales; Clostridiaceae. The record is from Rfam.